This 13609-nucleotide long non-coding RNA is filed under the name Gossypium barbadense (sea-island cotton). RNAcentral's name for it is "long non-coding RNA (GBAR_LNC021269)". Lineage: Eukaryota; Viridiplantae; Streptophyta; Magnoliopsida; Malvales; Malvaceae. The record is from RNAcentral.
CCGGCUUCUUAAGGGUACAUUAUCGAGUAUUUCAGUAAAGGGAGAGCUACGCAAGUUCAAGUAAUAGCUAAUCGCAUCCAGUACAUCUCGAGCUGCCUUACCGAGCAAGCCAAAUAUAUCAGGCAAACCACCCGGAGGAAACUCCAGUCCAUUGAUAGGGUCUGUAGGAGUUAGACCAGGCCGAUAAUCAUACGUUUCCUGCCAUAGUUGGGGGUCGGCAUAGUAACCUGACGUUUUGCACCACUCACGAGAAUCAUUUGUGUGAAUCAGCUCCUCUGGUGGGUAUGCAGCCUUUUGUUGGAAGUAAAGGCGAGCAGAAUCUAAACCGGAUCUCAGUAGAGCUCCAUCACUAGCUGGAAACUGAAUGAUGGCAGCUGAAUAUUGAGCAAAUGAUUGUGAUAGAGUAGAGACUGAUAGCUUGUAAGAAUCUGAAGGAAUGCCUUCAGAAGGUAUGAGAUCAGUAAGCUUUACACGACCCAGAGAUGGCAGGCCAUUGCCUGCCAUUAAAAUCUUUCAACGUACCAGUUACGUUAUUUCCAACUAAAGGUUAUAUCACCUAUCGACAAUACAAAUUAAAAUCGGCAUAAAUCAAAGGAUUUAAGACAAUAUUAUCUGUCAUACAGAAAAUGGAAUAUAAAUAAGACAUAACGAUACCGCAUUGCAAACAAAUAGAAGCACCAAAAGUUAUUCCAGAUUAGUCCCUCUAUUAUAUGAACUGGAAAAAUACUGGCUCAUUUUGAAAUUUUCGUAGUGGAUAAUCAAUGGAAACUAAACUGAAAUAGAUUUCCGGGUGAAAGUACCUGCCAAGUCCCUUUAUUAUAUGAACUGGAUCACAUUAGUCCCUCUACUAUUAAAUGUAUCAAUUUAAUCCCUAUACUAUUAAAAAUAAUUAAAUAAAGCCAAUUUGUAACGAAGUUAACAUUCACUGUUUAAAAAAUGAAAUGAAUUUUUUUUUUUCCCAUUUGCAGUUCAACUCCAAACAGAAGAUUUCAUUUCAAAACCAUAAAAAUAUUUCAAAAUGUUAAUGAAAUCCUUUUAGUUGAUUCCUUUUAUUAGUGCAGGGACUAAAUUGAUCCAUUUAAUAAUAGAGGGACUACUAUGACCCGGACCCUAUAACGUAGCGACAACAUUCACCUAGAUUUCCGCCAUUGCAGCUAUAAUACUCCAAGCUAAUUUUUAGACUGAUUUGCCUAAUAAAUUUCAUAAUGAAUUUGGGAACUGAACAAAAUACUCGCUUUUAGAACCCUAAUUAUAUUUCUAACACUCCAAUCAAAUUUGUAAAAAUUAUUUCAUAAUGCCUUCAAUCACAUGCCAUCAAAUAUUCCACUUACAAAGAAAUAACAGCAAAAAAAGAAAGUGAAUUUGCUUUGAAAUUUAAUUUUUUUUAUGAUUAAAAAGAAAACAAACCCAAUUCAUGAAAUCAAACAAGAAUUAAAAUAAAGAAAUACCCAUCAAGAUCAACAUACAAAAUUCAUACUUCACAAUUAAGGAAAAAGAAAGAACAUGCCUUUGAUUGAUUGCAGCGUCUUACUGAUGCUAAAGUAAACGAAGCGAAAUAGUUAAUUGGAAGCUGAAAUGGGUAAAGCUGUGACUGCGAGAAACAAAAGAUGGUUAGGAAAAGAUUGAAUCUUUCCCGAGAAAAUCAGCAGCAAAAUUCUUUUGUUUAUCAAUGGAAGAUGCUUCAUCAUGGGCCUUGCUUGGUUAGAUUUGGGCUUGGAAGAGAUUAGUAAUUAUUAUAAAUUACUUUUUCUAGAUUUUUUUAUAAACAUUAGUUUUAUUUUUUUUUAUUUAUUAAAAUAUGGGAUUUAUUUCUCUAAAUUUAUUUUUCAAAUAUUAAUUCAACUUCAUCACUCGCUAAUAACAAUGUCGAAUUUGAUUAAUGUUAACGGUUUUCAUUGUUAUACAUAAUUUUAUCUAUAAAUUUUUUAAAAAUAUUAUUAAUUUAUUUAAAAAAAUAAAAAGAAUAUAUAUAAUCAAAUUUAUAAAAAAAAAACUAAUACGUAAUUAAAUUAGAAUAUAAAAUAGCAUUUUAUUUGAUUGUGUCUAAAAUAAAUUUCAUGAUUUUGUAAUUAGAAAACACAUUGUAUGAAAAUAAUGAGAAUAAAUAACUCUAAAUUAUGGCCUAUUGAUCACUCAAAAAUAAUAUAAGUUUAACUUGUACGGAAGAAUAAUGAAAAUAAAUAAAUAUAUAAUUUAUCUUAAAGGUACCUUUUUAACUUAAUUUUUUUAAUCACAGUCUUAUGUUUAAAGUUACAUCAGAAGUACAAUUACUUUGUAGCAUACUAAAUAUGGAAAUCAGUGUUUCACCCAUUAAAUUAUUUAAAAAUAAUCAUACCAAACAUCCUUAUUUUUAAAUUCUUUGAAUAUUGGUUAAUUUCGUAUUCACUAUAAAUUUAUUUUGGAUUUGAUUAUGCACUCCUCAUCCUCUCUAUCUCCAAAAUCAAAUACGUUAAUUUGAAUGUUGAUGUCAAAUGUCACAUAUAGGGGUGUUCAGUCGGUUAAUCGGUCCUGAAAUAACAUUAACUGAAUUAAUUGACCUUUCAAAUUUUUUACCGUUAACCGAAUAUAAUUUUUUUUUAAAAAUUAAACGAAAAUUAUAUGUUUUUUUUUAUUUUUAGUUAAAAAUUAAUCGAAUUAACCGAAUUGAAUCACUACGCAAUUAAAAACAUUACAUAAGUCUUGAAAUUAACACAUAAAUUAUUUGUAAUUUUUAUUAAAUUAUUUGUAAUUUUUAUGAUUGGGUUGGGUUGGAUAAUUGGGUUGGGUUAGAUACUUGAAUUUGGAUUGGGUUUAGGUGAAUAGUGGGCCUAUUUAUAUAUUAUAAUUUUAUUUAUUAAUUUUUUCGGUUAAACAGAAAAAAUUUCGGUUAACCUACCGGUUUCGAACUGAAUUAAUCGUUAACCGAAAAUUAAAAAAUAAUUAAUCGACCUCCGACCGAAAAAAUUUGGUUAACUGACCGAUUAACUGAAUUCUAAAAUAGGGUUUGUCCACUCUAAUUUUUUUUCCAAUUCAAUCACUUUAAUUAAGAUAAUUACUCAAACUAGUCAUUGUGUUAAAAAAUUUGUUACCCCACUAAAAGAUUAUUGAUGUGGCAUAUUAACCAAUUAAAUGAUGACACAUAGCUUUUUUUUUUUACUUUUGACAAAAAACUUAAGGACUUCUCUAUAAUUAAUCCAACACACUUCUUUUUUUCCCUCUCUUCUCACUCUUAACUCAAAAAGGAGAAAAUAGAACAGGCAUCUCAAAGCUACAUGCCUUUCACCAUUUUCUCAACAAUGGAUCUAUGGCAACUAUCAACGAUAACCAACCAUAACUAAAGAGGAAUGAACAUAUAUAAAUAAGAAUGGAUGUAUGGCAUGGUUAAGGCAUGGGCAAGGGCAAAAGCUUCAACCUUUAUAAUUCGUUAUAUGCAGGCAAUUCCAAUUUUGGGGAGCUAAGCCAAGAUUUGAAUAAUAACCUCAUGUUGAGAUAUUUUGCUAUAUUUAAAGAGUUUGGGUGCACACCUACAAGAUUUUACACGAUUUUUUAAUUUAUUUAUAGGAUAAACUAUACCACAGCUCUAUGUAUAUUGUCCUUUUUCUCUUUUGAUCAUUUAACUACCAAUUUUUUUAAUUUGGUCAUCCAACUAAUCAAGAUUUUUUUUUGUCCAUUUCCAUCAAGCGUUGUUAAAUCUCUUACGAGAGGAUAAAGUAGCAAUUAAAAAAAUCGAUAAUAACAAAUUUAACCCUUAAUUUUUACAUAUUAUAUCGAUUUAGCCAUAAAUUUAAAAAAAUUAACCCUCAAAGUUUACAAAUGGUUUCAAUUUGAUCCUCAUAUUUUUUAAUAAUUUUUAAUUUUAAAAAUAAUUUAUAAAAUUUUAAAAUUUAUAAAAUUAAUUAAAUGUUGUCAUGUCAUCUACGUGUCAAUCCACAAGCAUGCCACAUUAGCAAAGUUAACAAAUUAUCAAGGAGUUGCUUCUAUUGGUUUGAUUGUAAUUGCUAUUAUCAAUGAGUUGCUUUGUUUUCAUUUAGAUUCUAUGUUUGCAAGUCGAAAUUGACAUAUGCUAUGGAGGCUUGUCUAGAUUAUGAAUGAGAGCAUAUUGAGAGCACUUGUUUUCAUUCAUUGAGGAACUGUUUGGUGUAAGAGUGCAAAUUGAAUUGUAAACAUUGGGUGUUUACUUCCCAAGUUCUCAUGGAGAGAAUUUAGAGGUGGAUGUUCUAGUCUUUAGGUACAAUAGUGGGACUUCUACUUGGGGAGUGAUAGAAUAUGAUUUGCUUGUUGUAUUAUAGAUUAAAAAUUACAUUUAUAUUUUAACAACACAAAUUGAAUAACGCGAGUGACUAGUUUGAAUAAUUAUUUUAACGAGAAUAAUUAAAUUGAGAAAAAAAUUAGAGUGACCAAAAUAGGACAAACCGCAUUUUAGUGUGACCUUAGUGUAAUUUACCCUGAAAAAUAUCGUGUAGACUUGGUUAAGUUGACCUGCUUCUAAACUUUAUGUUUUGUUGAUACAGGAAUAUAGAGAUAAAAGUUGAAAUAGUAUUCGUUAUCAAAAUUUUGCCUUUCUUAUUCAAAUUCCGUGUUUUCCAUUACCUUUUCUUUCUUUUUUUCUCCUUUAGCGUUUAAGACCUAAAAAGUCUUAAAGAAUGUGGGAGUGGGGCUGUCUUCGUAGACUUCUUUUUGGCUCGGGUUUUGUAGUCUAUUCUUUUUUUCUCCUUUAGCUUUUAAGACCUAAAAAGUCUUAAAGAAUGUGGGAGUGUCAAGUGUGGCUUUCUUCAAAGACUUUUGUUUGACUCAACUUUUUAACCUUUUGUGGAUAAUUAAAUUUCCAAUUUAAUGCAUUUUGUUGGAAGAAACUUCCUUGCGCUUCAUUUUUUUUUGUGUUUUAGCUAAAACUUACUCUAUAUAUUUGGAGUUGUGAGCCAUGGCAAUUGCAACCAUGACUACUCCUCUUCCUAUUUCCUUUUUCCCUUGCCUUCUUCUCAUUCCCGCUAUCUGUUUUACCAUUUGUCAUGCCAAUUCCAACCUACUUUGCAUUCAGAGUGAGAGAGAAGCUCUUUUGAAAUUCAAGAAUCAUCUUAUUGAUCCUUCAAACAGGCUAUCGUCAUGGGUUGAAGGUGGGGAUUGCUGUGAAUGGACUGGUGUCGUCUGCCAUAACUCAACAGGCCACGUCAACCAACUGCACUUGGCCGCUCCUCUUUCAGAGCCUGAUGGCUUGGCAACAAAUGCUGAAUGGGAAGCUUACAACAAUUCCCUGCUAGGAGGCAAAAUAAAUCCUUCACUGCUGGAGUUGAAGCAUCUCAGUUCCCUGGACUUGAGCAAUAACAAUUUUAGCACCAUACAUAUCCCGAAAUUUUUCGGUUUGCUGGAGAGUUUAACAUAUCUUAACCUUUCUCGAGCACAAUUUCAGGGAGCAAUUCCUCAUAACCUGGGGAAUCUUUCAAAGUUGCAGUAUCUUGAUCUUCGAGGUAAUGGAGUGAGAAAUAUUGAAGCAACAAGUCUUCAAUGGGUUUCUGGACUUUCUUCCUUGCAGUACCUUGAUUUGAGCUACGCGAAUCUUUCUAAAGCAACUGAUUGGCUACAGGUAACAUUUAAACAUCCUUCUCUGCUAGAGUUGCACUUGUCAGCUUGCAUUUUGAAAGAUGAUCCAUAUUUGAUCAGUGUUAAUUCUUCAAAAUCACUGGCUGUUCUUGAUCUUUCUGGGAACAGCUUAUCUUCAGUACCUAAGUGGAUAUUUAGUCUUCAUGGUCUUGUGUCCAUUGAUCUUGGUAGCACUUAUUUGGAAGGCCCAAUUCCAGAUUACUUUGGGAACAUCUCGUUUCUUGAAGUUCUUGAUCUUAAUUGGAAUAAUCUCAAUUCGUCCAUACCCAAUUCCUUGUAUAGUUUAAACCGUCUUCAGUUCCUUAGUCUUGGCUAUAACCAGUUACAAGGAACAAUCUCGAGUGCCAUUGGAAACUUGAGCUCUGUUACUCACCUUGAUCUUUCAGUAAAUCAAUUAAAUGGUCAAAUUCCAUUGUCUAUAGGGGAGUUAUCAUCUCUGAAGUUGUUUGAUGUUUCAGAAAAUCAGUUAAACGGCCAAAUUCCCUUGUCUAUAGGGUAUUUGUCAUCCUUGGAGGAGAUUGAUGUUUCAGAAAACCAAUUAAAUGGUCAAAUUCCAUUGUCUAUAGGGGAGUUAUCAUCUUUGAAGUUGUUUGAUGUUUCAAAAAACCAGUUAAACGGCCAAAUUCCCUUGUCUAUAGGGCAGUUGUCAUCCUUGGAGGAGUUUGAUGUUUCAGAAAACCAAUUAAAUGGUCAAAUUCCAUUGUCUAUAGGGGAGUUAUCAUCUUUGAAGUUGUUUGAUGUUUCAAAAAAUCAGUUAAACGGCCAAAUUCCCUUGUCUAUAGGGCAGUUGUCAUCCUUGAAGGAGUUUGAUGUUUCAGAAAACCAAUUAAAUGGUCAAAUUCCAUUGUCUAUAGGGCAGUUAUCAUCUUUGGUGGUAUUUGAUGUUUCAGAAAAUCAAUUAAAUGGUACUUUUCCUCUAUCUUUUGGACGACUAGAAAGUUUGGAAAUUCUGGAUUGUGGGUAUAAUCUAUUAGAAGGAGUUGUAUCAGAAACCCAUUUUUCUAAUCUCACGAGAUUGACAACUCUGAAGGCAUCACACAAUCGGCUUAGAUUUGAACCAAACUCAAGCUGGAUUCCCCCAUUUCAAUGUGAAAGGAUCGAAUUGGGUCACUGGCAUCUUGGCCCAAAGUUUCCCCAGUGGUUAAAAUUCCAAAAGAAAUUGUCUUAUUUGGAUAUCUCCUAUGCAGGAAUUUCAGAUGUCAUGCCCACUUGGUUUUUGAACCUUCCCACUCAAUUUGAAUCUUUAAACCUUUCCUCGAAUCAACUUAGAGGAGAGAUUUCAUAUUUGAAUGUGAGAAGCUCUGUUGAUUUGAGUUCAAACCGAUUCAUAGGACCAUUGCCAACAGUAUUCCCAACUUUACAACUUCUAAUUUUAUCAAAUAAUUCAUUUUCGGGAUCUCUUUUUGAAUUAGUUUGUAAUUCAUCAAGUGGGGAUUUUCUGGAAGUUCUUUACAUUGAUAAAAAUCUUAUCUCAGGAGAUAUUCCAGAUUGUUGGAAUCAUUGGUCCUAUUUGUUCCUUUUAAAUUUGGGAAGCAACAAUUUGACCGGCAAAAUCCCACCUUCUUUAUGGCAUCUAAAUCUUACAAUGCUAAACCUUCGAAACAAUACAAUGUUUGGAGAAUUGCCAUCCACAUUGCAAAAUUCUCCAAUUUUGGUUAUGUUUGAUCUUAGUGAAAAUCACUUCAGUGGAAAUGUACCAGCAUGGAUUGGUGAUAAGCUCCACCUUGAGAUUCUAAGCCUUCGAUCAAAUAACUUUGAUGGGCAUAUUCCUCAUAAAAUUUGUGAUCUUCAAUUUCUUCAAAACUUGGACCUUGCCCACAACAACAUUUCUGGAGUUAUUCCAAAAUGUUUUAAUAAUUUAAGUGCAAUGGCCACACCAAACAAAACCAAUAAUUUUGUUCAUGCGGGGUAUGAAUAUGCUGCCUCAAUUUUUUUAAACGCAUUAUUGGUGUUGAAAGGACGAGAGGAUGAAUAUGGUAGCACACUAGGACUUGUUACGAGCAUGGACCUUUCAGCUAACAGUCUCACAGGAGAGAUCCCCAAAGAAAUUGGUAGUCUCGUUGGACUAUUGUCUUUAAAUUUUUCAGGGAAUCUCCUAACAGGAAAUAUACCAGACAGCAUUGGCAGCAUGGAGUUAAUGGAAUCUCUUGAUUUGUCCAUGAAUCGACUAAAUGGUGAAAUCCCUCCAAGUUUCUCCAAUUUGAAUUUCUUGAAUCACUUCAAUGUGUCCUACAACAACUUGACAGGACAAAUCCCAACAAGCACUCAGCUUCAAAGCUUUGAAAACUUGUCUUACGUGGGCAAUCAUCUUUGCGGACCUCCUCUCACUAAGAACUGCACCUCAAAUGGUAUUCCAAUUGACGUUGCAAAUAAUGGAAGUAGCAGGGAAGGAAGUAAAGUGAAUUGGCUUUAUGUCAGCAUAGUUCUCGGCUUUGUAACGGGAUUUUGGGGUGUAGUGGCUCCCUUAUUUUUCAUCAGGUCUUGGAGGCAUGCAUACUAUCGAAAGUUGGACCAUGUUGGACGAAAGCUGUAUGUGUCUUGGGCUACUAUGGGUAUGUAGUUUGAUGGGAAAAAAACAUGUGUAAACAUGUUGGUCUAAAGUUGGUAUAAUUUACUGGAGAUUGGAUCAAAGUGUGUUUUGAUUAUGUAUGAAUAGGUUUUGUUGUAUUUCAAUAAUAUACAAUGAAAAUAAAUUUCAGCAAAAAAUGUUGUUUGAUAAAUUCCAUCAGUUGCUUAGCUUAAUAAUUGAGUAGACGUGGCAGCCAUAGAUCUGGUCUUCUUCCUCCUUGAUCCUUCAAAUUAGGAGUAACAAAAAUAGUAGUAAAUAGGAUUAGCCUAUUUUUUUUCUGUCAUUUUCUAAUUGUUGCCAAUGGAUCUCAACAAAAAAAGAGUUCAGCUGUUGCUCUUCAUCCUUGGACUCACCCUUCUCAGUAAGACAGGUAACAACCUCAAAACGUUCUCGUUUUUGCAUUUGAUCUGGAAAAUAAAAGAAGUCGUAAAUGUUGGAAUUUAAAUCUCCAAGUUAAUUUCAAGUUUGUAAAAUUUAAUGUACUUGAUUGUUCUCUCUUCUUUGUUAACUUAUGGAUCAAAUUGGUAUACCUGUUUAGAGUUAUUUAGAUUUUUUAUUUUAAGGUAUAUAUUUGGAAUCAGCACAUUCAAACAUGAAAAUGAGCAUAGAAUCUUUCAAAAAUAUUCAAAAUAAUUUAUAAAAGUUUUAAUAUACUCGUGUGAAAUAUAUACCCGACAAAAAUCCUUUCAAGUUAUCGAGAUUCCAUCCACCCCAGUCAUAUAUGGUGGUUUUUUAAUUGCUUUUAAAAAUUAAGUUUGAAGCAAGGUGAAUCGAGUUUUUAACAAGGGUUACGUGUAGCUAGGGGCAGGCACCUAGAAAAUUUUCUAUUUAUAUCUUUUAAAAUUUUUUAAAUUUUAAAUUAGUAAAAGUAAAAUUUCACUUUGGUCUCUUUAGAAAAUGAUAAAAUUUUGAUUUAAUCUUUUAAAAAUUAUAAAGAUAUAAGCUAUUAAAACGGUGAAAUUAUAUUUUUACUAUAGUAAAAACUACAAUUUAAUUUCAGAAUUUUCCUACAAAAUAUUUCUGGCGCCCUAAUUUUUAAAUAGAAAAUAAACCUGAGAUUGGGAUUUAUUCCAUAGACUUAGUUGAUUUCGAACUAGUGUUUUUAAGAAAAAAUCUUAAUUAACAUUUUUAAAAUUAAUUUUAUUGUUACAAGACUAUGGAAGUGGAUAUAUUCUUUUAAUUUCAAAUGUUACACCAUUAAAUUUAAUAGAAUAAUUUUAGUGGCAAUAACUAUUUGACUUGAAUUUUUAAAUUAAAAAAAUGUAGGGAUUAAAUUUUUAAAAAUAAAAGUAAGAGACUAAAAUCUAAAUAUAUAAAAUGUAUAGUGAUUUAUAGCAUACUUUAACCUUUAAAUUUUUAUUUUAUAAUUUAAUAUAAAUAAAUAAUUAAUUUAAUAAGGAGGUCGGAAGCUACAGUAAUGUAUAUAUAAAAGUUUUAUUUUACUCUUAAGAAAAAGUUUGAGAAUUAAAUAAAGCAGAGUAAAGGAUGAAUUGAUUGAUUUUGAAUAAAUGUUGAAAAAUCAUAAUGCAAGAAGUAGUAAUGGUUUUCAAAAUUUUGCUUAAUACUAACCAAACAUAUACAAAACUUCCUUUUGGUUUUUAAGACCUAAAAAGUCUUAAAGAACGUGGGAGUGGGACUUAGGGUGGGUUUGGAUGGGCGAUUAGGUGCGGUGCGGUACGUUUAAUUUACUUUUUAUCUCACGCUACAGUAUCGCUACAGUGUCUAAUUUCACAGCCACCGCUGUUUUUACACUAACCGCAGGUAAACGCACCGUCCAUCCAAACUCACCCUUACUCCAUAGACUUAGUUUUCAAACUUUUAUGUCCAUUUGUGGUUUUAAACUUAUCGACCUUAAAUUAAAUUUUAAUUUGGUUGAUAUUGAUUUCAUUGUCAAUGAAAGAGGAUAUAGACUUAAGCGUACUUAAAUGCGUUUUCAGAAACAAGGUUUGAAAAAUAUUUAAUACACUAUGUAUUUAAGGUAUAAUAAUUUUUUAGAAAAAUGGAACACAAAUUUAUAAUAUGGGGUCUUAUAAUAUAUUAUAUAUUAAUUUGAUUCAUUUAAAGUUUUAUUUUUCUACAAGAAUUAAGUUCAUGAUAAUAAGAAAAGAAAGUUCAACUUUUAUUUAUUAAUAAAAUUUAUAUUCCCUUUGAAAUAAAAUUCAAUUAUUUUUUAAUUUUUAUUUUAACUUUUCAUUUUGUUUUAAUUUUUAAAUUAUUUGCUAAUAUGAGAUAUGAGAUAAAAUAGUACUACAUUAGCAUAAAGUACAUAUAAAUUGUUGUAACACCCUAAAUAAUUUAUUUUUGUUUCUGUGAAUUUUAAUAUAAAUGUGUAUUUGUUUAAGUGGUUAAAUGUUUUGGGUGUGUGUAUGAGGCAUUGGGUUCAAAACUUGGACCUUGCCCACAACAACAUUUCUGGAGUUAUUCCAAAAUGUUUUAAUAAUUUAACAGCAACGGCCACAACAAACAAAGCCAGUAAUUUUGUUUUUGAGGUGUUUAGAUAUGCUGACUCAUUUUUUUUUGAACGCAUUAUUGGUGUUUAAAGGACGAGAGGAUGAAUAUGGUAGCACACUAGGACUUGUUACAAGCAUGGACCUUUCAGCUAACAGUCUCACAGGAGAGAUCCCCAAAGAAAUUGGUAGCCUUGUUGGACUAUUGUCUUUAAAUUUUUCAGGGAAUCUCCUAACAGGAAAUAUACUAGACAACAUUGGCAAGAUGAAGUUAAUGGAAUCUCUUGAUUUGUCCAUGAAUCGACUAAAUGGUGAAAUCCCUCCAAGUUUCUCCAAGUUGAAUUUCUUGAAUCAUUUCAAUGUGUCCUACAACAACUUGACGGGACAAAUCCCAACAAGCACUCAGCUUCAAAGCUUUGAAAACUUGUCUUACGUGGGCAAUCAUCUUUGGGGACCUCCUCUCACUAAGAACUGCACCUCAAAAGGUAUUCCAAUUGACGCUGCAAAUAAUGGAAGUAGCAGGGAAGGAAGUAAAGUGAAUUGGCUUUAUGUCAGCAUAGUUCUCGGCUUUGUAACGGGAUUUUGGGGUGUAGUGGCUCCCUUGUUUUUCAUCAGGUCUUGGAGGCAUGCAUACUAUCGAAAGUUGGACCAUGUUGGUCGAAAGCUGUAUGUGUCUUGGGCCACUAUGGGUAUGUAGUUUGAUAGGAAAAAAAAACGCAUUUAUAAUUGAUGCAUUUGAGCUAGGUGUGUUGCUACAAGAUUGUUUGAUUUGAAAGAUUAGUUUUUGCGUCUAUCAACUCGCUUGGUGUGCCAACAAAACGGCCCACUCGGUUGCAUGAGCGGUUUUAUUAUAUGCAAACCACAUAUAAUAGGAUGUUCUUUCCCUUGCAUCUUUCUUGAAGAAUGUUAAAAUUAUGUCUUAUUUUGUCUUAUGUUGAUACGAAUGCAAAUUGUGGAUGGUAGAUUUGGGUGUAUGGGGUGAGCCUGUUGGCUCGGGUUUAGUAGUCCAUCUCAUCUUUGUGUUCACUUUUGCUUUUUUAUUUUCUCAUUAAUGAAUUUCUUCUCUAAAAUAAUAGUAAUUUUAGACACGUAUAAAAGCAUAAGUGUAAAUUACACCCAAGGUCACUAUAAAAUAGGUUUGUCCUAUUUUGGUCACUCUAGCUAAUUUUUUUCUCAAUUUAGUCACUCUAUUUAAUGUUAUUGUUUGAACUAGUUAAUAUCGUUAAAAAUUCUAUUAAUCCAUUAAUGGAUUGUUGUUGUGACACAUUAGCCAAUUGAAUUAUGACACGUGGCACCAGGGGCGGAGCCAAGGGGUUGGUAAUGGCUUUAGCUCCCUAAAAAGAUUUUCCAUUUAGGCCCCUUUAUUGUUUAUAAAAUUUUCAAUUACUAAUGGUAAAAUUACACUUUGGUACCUCCAAAAAUAAUAAAAUUUUGAUUUAAUUGGUCAUAAAGGUCGAUUUUUUGAAAAUUUAGAGAAAUAAGUUGUUUUUAGAGAGAGUGUAUAAAAGCGCGACCAACUGGACGCUCUUUCUGCAGAAGUGGCAAGAAAGCUUAUCUAGCUAGGCGAGCUUUUCUGCUGACAUGUCAGGAAAAAUGUGCCAAGCUGGACGCAUUUUCAUUGAAAUUUUCAAAAAACGUUUUCAACUUAGCGCACUUUCCUUGACAUGUCAAUAGAAAGCUCGCCCAACUGGUCGGGUUUUCACAUACUCUCUCCAAAAACGAUCGAUUUCCCUAGAUUUAAAAAAAAGAGAGUCCUAUUUAGUCAAUUAACAAACUUUUUUGGCAUAUAUGGCUAAUUUGGCCUACAAUUAAGGGUUUAAUUUAUGAUCACAUUAUAUAUUAUUAAGGCUCUGCUCUUCGAUAAUGUGGUCAUUAGGUCUAAUUGUUUGGCUGUUAUGACUGCUUGGACUCCGCCAAUAAUUGAUGGAUCUGGGCUAGGUGUAUUGUUACAGGAUUGUUUUGUGCUGAAAGAUUAGUUUAAGCAUCUGUCUUUUUUUUUUGGACUAGUCGGUGUGCCAACAAGACAACCCACUUAUUUGUGUGAGCAGCUUUCUUAUAUGCAAACCAUAUGAAAUGGGAUGUUUUUUCCCUUGCAAGUAUACCAUAUGUUGAUAUAAAUGAGGAUUACGGACAGUAGGUUCAAGUUUAUAGCGUGAGCCUAUUGGCUCAGGUUUAGUAAUUUGUCUCCUCCUUGCGUUGGCUUGUGUUUUGUGACUUUCUCAUUAAUAAAUUUCUUCUCUAAAAAUAAAUAGUAAUUUUAGACACACAUAAAAGUAUAAGGCUAAACUCACAUAUUUAUUAACUUCUUGUUUUGUGAAAUAUAUAUAUCACGGUAAGUACGUAAUGUUUCAAAUUUAAAUCAAUGCACAGUAGUUUAUAUUUUAUUUCAAUCAAAAUUUUAAUAAGUUUCAUAUUCAACUCAUUUCAAUCAAUACCAGUGUACCAAUCAGUACCAAUUGAUACAUUCAAAAUUUGGACAUUUUAAACUAAUUUCUAAUUUUUUUGUAAAAACCAUUUUAAUUUUACCAUAAUUACAUUUUAAUUUUAAAACAUACAUUAACAUAUAAAUAUAUUUAUAUGGAUAUAAUUAAGAUAUAUUUGCAUGUAUAUAUAUUGUAUAAUUAAUUUUUUAACCAAAAUAACAUAUAAUUUAUGAAGAAACUAAAACUUAGAAUAUAAAUAUAUAUGUGAAAAUUAUUUAAAUGUAUAUAUAAUUUAUCAAGAAAUUAAAUUUUAGACUAUAAAUAAUACUGAAGAAGAAAUUUCCCGGCUUCUUAAGGGUACAUUAUCGAGUAUUUCAGUAAAGGGAGAGCUACGCAAGUUCAAGUAAUAGCUUACAUCUCGAGCUGCCUUACCGAGCAAGCCAAAUCUAUCAGGCAAACCACCCGGAGGAAACUCCAUUCCAUUGAUAGGGUCUGUAGGAGUUAGACCAGGCCGGUAAUCAUACAUUUCCUGCCAUAGUUGGGGGUCGGCAUAGUAACCUGACGUUUUGCACCACUCACGAGAAUCAUUUGUG